ACUCAAAUGAAUUGACGGGGGCUCGCACAAGCGGAGGAGCAUGUGGUUUAAUUCGAUGGUAAGCGAAGAACCUUACCUGGGCUUGAACGUGUAGUGACAGUGGAUGAAAGUCCAUCUCCCUUCGGGGCACUAUGCGAGGUGCUGCAUGGCUGUCGUCAGCUCGUGUUGUGAAAUGUUGGGUUAAGUCCCGCAACGAGCGCAACCCCCAUCCUAUGUUGCCAUCAUUCAGUUGGGCACUCUUAGGAAACUGCCCUGGUUAACGGGGAGGAAGGUGGGGAUGACGUCAAGUCCUCAUGGCCCUUAUGUCCAGGGCCACACACGUGCUACAAUGGAGCGCACAAAGAGAUGCGAAGCCGCAAGGCCAAGCCAAUCUCACAAAACGUUUCUCAAUUCGGAUUGGAGUCUGCAACUCGACUCCAUGAAGCUGGAUUCGCUAGUAAUCACAGAUCAGAACGCUGUGGUGAAUACGUUCUCGAGCCUUGUACACACCGCCCGU
Molecule: ribosomal RNA, 496 nt
Filed under: uncultured bacterium
Lineage: Bacteria
Description: partial 16S ribosomal RNA
Rfam family: Bacterial small subunit ribosomal RNA
Source: RNAcentral